GACGAACGCUGGCGGCGUGCUUAACACAUGCAAGUCGAGCGGUAAGGCCCUUUCGGGGGUACACGAGCGGCGAACGGGUGAGUAACACGUGGGUGACCUGCCCUCAGCUCUGGGAUAAGCCUGGGAAACUGGGUCUAAUACCGGAUAUGACUCCAUGACGCAUGUUGUGGGGUGGAAAGCCUUGUGCGGCUGAGGAUGGGGCCCGCGGCCUAUCAGCUUGUUGGUGGGGUGANGGCCUACCAAGGCGACGACGGGUAGCCGGCCUGAGAGGGCGACCGGCCACACUGGGACUGAGACACGGCCCAGACUCCUACGGGAGGCAGCAGUGGGGAAUCCUGCGCAAUGGGCGAAAGCCUGACGCAGCGACGCCGCGUGAGGGAUGACGGCCUGG
Molecule: ribosomal RNA, 391 nt
Filed under: uncultured bacterium
Lineage: Bacteria
Description: bacterial SSU rRNA
Rfam family: Bacterial small subunit ribosomal RNA
Source: RNAcentral